GACGAACGCUGGCGGCGUGCUUAACACAUGCAAGUCGAACGGAAAGGCCCUGCUUUUGUGGGGUGCUCGAGUGGCGAACGGGUGAGUAACACGUGAGUAACCUGCCCUUGACUUUGGGAUAACUUCAGGAAACUGGGGCUAAUACCGGAUAGGAGCUCCUGCUGCAUGGUGGGGGUUGGAAAGUUUCGGCGGUUGGGGAUGGACUCGCGGCUUAUCAGCUUGUUGGUGGGGUAGUGGCUUACCAAGGCUUUGACGGGUAGCCGGCCUGAGAGGGUGACCGGCCACCUUGGGACUGAGAUACGGCCCAGACUCCUACGGGAGGCAGCAGUGGGGAAUAUUGCACAAUGGGCGGACGCCUGAUGCAGCAACGCCGCGUGCGGGAUGACGGCCUUCGGGUUGUAAACCGCUUUCGCCUGUGACGAAGCGUGAGUGACGGUAAUGGGUAAAGAAGCACCGGCUAACUACGUG
Molecule: ribosomal RNA, 468 nt
Filed under: uncultured bacterium
Lineage: Bacteria
Description: partial 16S ribosomal RNA
Rfam family: Bacterial small subunit ribosomal RNA
Source: RNAcentral